GGGGCAUUAGCGCAGUUGGGAGCGCGUUUGAAUGGCAUUCAAAAGGUCACGGGUUCAAGUCCCGUAUGCUCCA
Molecule: transfer RNA, 73 nt
Filed under: Candidatus Bariatricus faecipullorum
Lineage: Bacteria; Bacillati; Bacillota; Clostridia; Lachnospirales; Lachnospiraceae
Also listed under: 1 other name
Description: tRNA-Ala
Rfam family: tRNA
About the family: Transfer RNA (tRNA) molecules are approximately 80 nucleotides in length. Their secondary structure includes four short double-helical elements and three loops (D, anti-codon, and T loops).
Source: RNAcentral